GCAUCCAUUGUCUAAUGAAUAAGACAAAGGUCUUCUAAACCUUUGAUAUAGGCUCAAAUCUGAUUGGGUGCA
RNAcentral lists this transfer RNA (72 nucleotides) under Capsicum annuum. It matches the Rfam family "tRNA". From Rfam's summary of the family: Transfer RNA (tRNA) molecules are approximately 80 nucleotides in length. Their secondary structure includes four short double-helical elements and three loops (D, anti-codon, and T loops). The record is from Rfam by way of RNAcentral. Lineage: Eukaryota; Viridiplantae; Streptophyta; Magnoliopsida; Solanales; Solanaceae.